Molecule: non-coding RNA, 26 nt
Filed under: Mus musculus (house mouse)
Lineage: Eukaryota; Metazoa; Chordata; Mammalia; Rodentia; Muridae
Source: RNAcentral
UGGGUAACUUCAUUCUUUACAGGGAU